GUGGGAGCCUGCUGGGUUAAGGAAGAAUUAGAGCGCAGAUCGUGAGGCUUACAGUAUAAAGGACAUUCUAUUUCAUUUCAUGCUUAGAGGGGAUAAGUGAAACAGGCAGAAUAGACACAUACACACACGGAAACACACUCACAAUCAUUCAGUCAUCUUAUCCAAGAAUACAAUGAACCCAAACCAACAAAAGAUGCACAGCCCCAGGUUCUGUGUCCUGCUACCUCAAAAACAUUCCAGAAUGACUGACAUGACAAGGGGGCAGAAGAUGUCGGAGGAAGGGGAGCCCCUCGGAUGGCCGAAUUCUAAUUCCGAGGAAGAGUACCCCGACCGUUACCCACUAGAGGGCUGGCCAGGCCUGCAGUCUGCCCAGUGACAAGUCCGAGGAUGGACCAAGUGGAGGGUUGCCACCUCCUUCCAUUUCUGAGGCGGGGACGCAGUGCUGGCUCUUGCAUGUCUAAGAUUCCACAUCUCCGAACUCUUACCUGGAUUUCGCCUCUAAAACCGGAUCAGCUACCACGCCCUAACCUGCAUUCAACUUCCUGUCUACCUGGACACCUGCAUCCAUCUGCACGCCAUUCUCCCUGCCAGAAUUCCGUCCAUACUCACCUUAUACGCUUUUCUGUUUGACCAUUAAACCACCAUUCUCUGUCACUUCUUGUCCUUGUCUGCUUUUG
Esox lucius (northern pike) is the source of this 677-nucleotide long non-coding RNA. Ensembl lists it as uncharacterized. The record is from Ensembl. Lineage: Eukaryota; Metazoa; Chordata; Actinopteri; Esociformes; Esocidae.